CAUCCAAGUAAUUCUGCCAUCUCUUCUGGCUUCAAAGGGAAUCCAUUGACAAUUAGUUGCUCUGGUCGAAGUUGAUUAGCAGAGCAUUCUUUCUCUGCUUUCAUUAUCUGCUUAACUUCCAAAGGACUGAGCAAUCGAGAUAAGACCCUGGAAUGUUUACCUAACUUCAACCGCUUUGAUUCAUCAAUUGCUUGACCAAUGCAAGUCACACAUUUACGGCCUUCAGGCAUUGAUCCCAUAGCUCUAAGUAUGCAAUUGCUACAAUACUUAGCAUCACAAACCAGGCAUGAUUCUUUGGUUUCCCACUUACCUUUUCCACACCUGUAACAGA
RNAcentral lists this unclassified non-coding RNA (331 nucleotides) under Hevea brasiliensis (rubber tree). The record is from RNAcentral. Lineage: Eukaryota; Viridiplantae; Streptophyta; Magnoliopsida; Malpighiales; Euphorbiaceae.